AUAGUGCAAUGCACUCUCUUACCUCAAUCUACUUGCCAUGCACUCGAUCGUCUACGUAGAAACUUCCUAUGGGGAUUCACAGAUAACCAGAGAAAAUUGCACAUCGUUGGAUGAGACACCAUUAUCAACCCCAAAGAGCAAGAGGGGUUUGGUGUUACUUGUGCUGAAGGCCGUAACCUAGCCUUCCUUGCUAGAUUUGCUUGGAGACUGCGGGAGGAUAAUAGGCCUUGGUCUCGCAUUCUAAAAAGAAAAUACGUUACCAAUCCUGUAUCUCCAAGCACUGUUAAUGCCCUCAAUCGUGCUGCCCUAAUAGCGGGAAACUAGCUAUGCUCCAUUGGGAGCAAAUGGAUGGUUGGAAAUGGCCACAGAAUCAAUGUAUGGACUGACUGUUGGGUUGGCCACCAACCUCUCAGAGCACAAGUUUUAGGUCUUUUGAACUCAACAGACCUCGGUCUAAAGGUAGCUAAUAUUCUCAUGGAGGAUGGUUCCUGGAACCUUGAUAGACUGCCUUUUCAUCUACCCGACAGCGUUUUAGACAUCUUGCAAAGCACACCCAGAAGCUGUCCAGGGAAUAGAUGUGAUGAUAGACAAGUAUGGAGACGUCUUUUCAAUGGCCUUUUCUCGGGCCAAAACUGCCUACUUUCUAGCUUGUGGGGUCUAUCACCCCUUACCUCACAAUAAUUGGAAGUGGGUAUGGAAAGUGGCGGCGAUACCCAGAGUCCAAACUUUCCUCUGGUUAGCAUGCCAGUAAAAACUUCCAACUGCAGCCCACCUUCAUGCGAGGGCCUCAACAUACCCCCUGAAUGCUCUGUUUGUCUCGACAAAGUUGUGACCACUUCUCAUGUGUUGAUGGAAUGCUCGGCUGCUGCCAGCUUUUCGACAAACCUGGGCAUCCCACUUUCUAAAUGAGCAACUUUCUCUCUACCAGCGCAUGAGUGGCUACAACUGAAUUGUGAUUCUUAUGAGACUCAUAACCUGCACAUUCCAUGGCGUAUUUAUCUUUGCUUAUGCUGUGUGGGUACUCUGGAAAAGACGGAACAAUUUUAUCGUUAAUAGAGCUCCUCCUAUUGAGGGAUUACACCGAUCUGGCCUACAACUCGCAGCAGAAUUCUUUGCCUUGAGCCUCCCUGCUCAAUCUUUGCAUACUAGAUCCCAUUAGCAUUCGAUGGAAACCACCCCCUGAGGGUUGGUUCAAAUCGAAUAAUGAUGGAUCGGUCUCUACGUCUUCGGGGCAUGUAGGGGCUGGUGGCAUUCUAAGAAACCAUAUGGGAGAGGCAGAUAGUCUCACAGCUGAAGCAUGGGCUCUUCGGGUUGGACCUAAAAUGGCCACUGACUUAGGCAUCCAAUCGAUCCCAGUAGGCCUAGGAACCUUCUUCGGGGCUUUGCUAAUGCUAGGAUGCAACACAGUUUCAGAGAGGCAAAUGCAGCUGCAGACUAUCUUGCUAGACUAGUAGCGAGGACAUAUUUCUAUCAUCAUCAGGCAGUUAUGUAUUUGGAAACACCUCCUUCGGGUGUCUUCGAUGUUCUUUUAGCUGAUCUUUCGGGGGUCCAUAAAACCCGCCUUCUUUGUUAUAACCGAGCUUCGAUUGACUAUGGUUGAUUAUUAAUAUUAUUCUAGCCCUCUGUUACCAAAAAAAGAAAAAAACUAUAUACAUUCUUUCCUCUC
Molecule: non-coding RNA, 1666 nt
Organism: Punica granatum (pomegranate)
Lineage: Eukaryota; Viridiplantae; Streptophyta; Magnoliopsida; Myrtales; Lythraceae
Source: RefSeq, a predicted model, not a curated record